AAACACUUCUGUGCAGCUGGGAAUGCAGGCUUCUGCUUCACCUUGAAGGAAGCAUUAAUGAUUCCUUUCCAGAAGACAUGAGAAGAGAGAAGUGAGCCUCUGGUAUCAUGCAGAUUCCUUGCAUUGCCCAUGGGCUAGAAGAGAGAAGAGUUCCUUCAUGAGAUUUGAUCCCCUUUUUCCUGAAAAGUUCCACACACAGGUGAGUCCCCAGCAUGUUUAGACAUCAUUUCAGACAUCUUUGUUGACAGAAAUGAAUCACACCCCCUGAUGAUGUGGAAGAGCUAUAGAUGGGUUUGCUAUGAAUUUUCUAUUUCAUUUCUCAGGGCCUGAGUCAAGCCAGCCAUUGUGCUGUCAGCGCAUGAGCUGCUGGUCAAAUGUGAGGAAGUGGUCUUGCUUUAUGAAAGCACCACCCUGAUUCAGUGAGCCAGAGGCAGCCUGCAGUCCCUCAGUUUUCCUGUAAAGGCAGAUUGCUGUGGAUGGCCUCUGGCCUCGUCAUGCAGCCCUGCUCAGAGUAGGGGAUUGAGGGUCCAGGCAGAUCCCUAGUUCCUUUUGACCUUUAUUGCCAUUGGGCUGCCCCAGGGUCCUUGGACUCUACCUGGUCUUCUGGCCUAGGUCAGGGGAUGUGAGGUUUGGAAUCCCUCUCUGUGGCAGGAUCCCAGGCCCCCCAGCCAUUUGAGGGCAGGCACAGCCUUCCCUAAUUGUGUUAGAGGGGGAGACUUCUCCCACCCAUCCUCAUCCAUGCUCAUCCCACAUUUUGUAGCUUGACACCUGAGGACCUUUAUUCAUUGACUUAGUGGUUAGUGAUGAUGGUUGCUAAGACUAAGUAUCUCUUUCAAAGUCACAUCACUUGCAUGGUUGGGCUAGAGCAUGGAUCUUCGUAAUUGAUUUCAUGGGACUCUCUCAUGGAAACUGUGACUGCCUCCUAAACACACACUCUACAUUUGGAGUGUCAAAAUUCUUGGCACUGCCUCCUUGGCAAGUGUAUCUUGUCUUCUACUUGGGAAUUUCACAAAUAUUUUCGUUUGGUUUGUGGAGGUCAUGCAGAAGGGAUUUCAUUUGAAAUAGCCCAAACAAGAAAUACCAGUUGUCUUUUUCACACAUGGAUGUGUGUAAUGAACAUCCCUUUCUGUGUGUUUGCAUGAGUUGCUCCUUUGAAUUUGUUGAAGAAUGGUUAGCUGGGGAGCAAGGUAACGAGAGAUGGAUAUCAAUGGUUGUCAAGUAUUCUGAAGUGAAGAAUGUAUUGAGGAUGUGAAGGCUUUUCUAGCCAGUUCCUAUGGCUCAGUCAGGGAUCAGUCAGAGGAUUCUGUCUGUUAGACUCUUUGGAACAGAUGUCAAAGUGGCCUGGUCUUACCCUGUCCAGGACUGAAUGCUGAGCUUGAGUGGGAGCUUCUUGUCAUUUCAAGCAUUUCCAUGAGUCUGUCCUCUGUUCUCUUGUAUCCAAGUGGUUUCUAACAGGAAAGCAGAACAAAAAUUGAAAGUAUGGUGAUUGAUUAUUUAUACCAAUGUUAUUUCAAUCAACUUUGUAUAAUACGAAAUUAACUUUCUGCUAGUAAGAUUUCAUAUGUGAGGAAAUAAUGAAAAUAUUGGGGUUAGGGGAUGAGAAUAUGCAAAUCAAACAUUUUUGAGCACCAAGACCCGUUUUUUGUUUUUGUUUUUUUAACUUAAAUAAUGAAGUGCCAGAAGACCACACCUGCCAUUCAACCUCAACAACCUCCAGGUCCAGCCUCCAGGUGGCCCGUUUCACCAGGGUGUGUGGGACCACACUGUCCUGGGAUGAGAGAGCAGUACCCACGAAUGUUGGUACAGAGUAGAUAUUGCUAGAGACAGUGGGGAGGUAGUGGCACAUGAGGAAGGGAAGAGCUCUCAGGAUGGGAAGAGGGGGCCGCUUCGAGACUCAUUGGGCAUGGCACGAGGCUGCUGGGUGUGGUGUUGGCCUGGGCCCACUGAGUGGGGCAGAUCCAUGCUCUGUGUCCCUCUACCCUCCUCUGUAGCCUGUGCUGGCAGCAGAUCAGGGAAUUGGGGUCAGAAGUGCUCCCAGUAACACAGGCACCAGCCCCCAGUGUGUGCCUAGCCCUUUCCCUACCUGGCCUGACUUAGUGCUUGUCUUGCCUCAGGGCUGAGACCCUACAGUCUCUGAUGAGUGUGUCUGGGGUCCAGAUCCAACCUGCAUGGCCAACAUGCUCAGACCUUCAGCUGGGUCCUAGGCUGCUGCAACCAAACCCUGUCAAUUGGGUGGCCCACAACAGAGGAAGUGUCUUCCGUUGAGCUCCAGAGGCUCAACACAGUAGGUGUUGGGCUGUCCCAGUGCCAUAACCCCUCCCAGGUUUCAAGGGGACUGUCCCCCCAACUCUGUCAGCCCUUGCCCACUCUCCUACUGCUGUCCAUGAUCUGUGGUUCCCAUAUGGGCAUCCCGACCUGGCUCCAACCUCACAUAGGCUGUAUCCCCAAGUCUCCCUGGUCUCUGGGUCCAGACUCCCCUCUUCCUACAAGAAUAUAAGAUAUUAGAUUUGGGCCCAGUUGAUGCUGUGUUCCAUCAUGUGAGCUCUUAGCUUCAUCACUGUACAAAGACUCUUUUUCCACGUAAGUUCACAGGACUUUUGGGUGGCUAAGAAUUUUCAGGGGACACUUUUCUAAUGAGUACACUUUCCUUUCUUCAGAUCUCUCCCCACUGAGCCUUCUUCUCAUCCUUGUCCUAGUUCCUUUAUGGCAAGUUCCCUCCUUAUGGCUGAGAGGACCUAGUGACCCCUGGAUUCACACAUUGUCUUUAAUCACCAACACACUGCAGAAUUCUCCAUGGGACUGCGGUGUUUUGCAUUGGAACCCACCCCCUGACCUCUAAAAGUGGUCUAGACAAUUGGGUUGACUCCCUCCCUCCUGAACCUCUUUGAUGCCCUUUAAAGUAAGUUAUUCUUUUGGAUUCCUUCCACAAGUAGGCAAGUCCUUGGAUCCCCUGCUAGAAAGUCUUCCAGCCUGAAGGUCAGAUGUGUCCAGAUGUUGAGUUGAAGGAUAUCAUCCUAGAAGCCCUCAUCCUGGCUGCAGCGUUUCCUCCCCUCAAUGCAAAGCAAGAAAGUGCAGUUGGCUCUGUACCCAUUCUUCUGCAUCCAUGGUCCUCACCAGCUGGAAAUCCAAACUAUCAGGAAAGGAGUUGUGUCUCUCUGGACAGAUACUUCUCUCCUCAUUGUUUCCUGGAUCUUACAGUGUUACAGAGAAUGACACUGCCCUUUCAUUGUAUUAGGUGUCAGAAGUCAUCUAGAGAUAAUGGAAGUGCUACAGGAAGAAGAUAUACAGCGUUUAGAUGCAAAUACUCUGGCAUUUUUGUAAGAGACGAACCUGUGUGGACUGGUGUUUUGGGCAGACUUUGAACAAAUCUCCCUUGAAUUUCUUGUAACGUUUCUGGUUUCUGGACUUGGGAGUGUUCAGUGUGAGUCAGCCUCAUGGGGAUGUGAUAGGGGGGCAGUCGGAGCUGUUGUGCAGAACCUCAGUGAUGGCUUGUAAGGCCACAUGCAACACUGCAAGCAGGAGCCGAGAAGGGAGCCCUCUCCCCAUGUGUUCAGCUUAACUCUUGUCUUAUCCAAAAUCAUGACUUGUGAAAUGUUGCAGAAAUGGACUCAUGCCAAGAAGUUGGGAUGUUCUGGGGAGCAUGGGCUGUCAUUCUAUUUUGUCUCUGCAUUAUGAUGUGUUAGCGGGUGGGAACUUGAAGAUGUGCUUAGGCCAUGGAUUCUCCUUCCCUGGGAAAGGGCUUCUCAAAGCAGCCCUUGUCCCUGUUUCACCUGCUUCCCCAGGAGGACACAACAAGAACGUUCUUACAAGUUGGCCCCCAGUCUUGGUCUUCCAGCCUCCCAAGUUUGAGAAAUAAAAUCUGUG
RNAcentral lists this long non-coding RNA (3864 nucleotides) under Marmota monax (woodchuck). Lineage: Eukaryota; Metazoa; Chordata; Mammalia; Rodentia; Sciuridae. The record is from RNAcentral.